ACUUUUUUAGUAUAAAUAAUAUAUUUGACUUCCAAUCAAAAGAUCUUGAAUUAAGAAAAAGUA
This 63-nucleotide transfer RNA is filed under the name Pseudomictis brevicornis. RNAcentral's name for it is "tRNA-Gly". It matches the Rfam family "tRNA". Rfam says of the family: Transfer RNA (tRNA) molecules are approximately 80 nucleotides in length. Their secondary structure includes four short double-helical elements and three loops (D, anti-codon, and T loops). The record is from RNAcentral. Lineage: Eukaryota; Metazoa; Arthropoda; Insecta; Hemiptera; Coreidae.